This 253-nucleotide ribosomal RNA is filed under the name uncultured bacterium. Its description in RNAcentral is "partial 16S ribosomal RNA". It matches the Rfam family "Bacterial small subunit ribosomal RNA", at positions 524 to 776 of the family's 1533-position model. The record is from RNAcentral.
UACAGAGGUCUCAAGCGUUGUUCGGAUUCAUUGGGCGUAAAGGGUGCGUAGGCGGCGCGGUAAGUCGGGUGUGAAAUCUCGGGGCUUAACUCCGAAACUGCAUUCGAUACUGCCGUGCUUGAGGACUGGAGAGGAGACUGGAAUUUACGGUGUAGCGGUGAAAUGCGUAGAUAUCGAAAGGAAGACCAGUGGCGAAGGCGGGUCUCUGGACAGUUCCUGACGCUGAGGCACGAAGGCCAGGGGAGCAAACGGG